GCUAUAGGGAGUUCUAUCGCUCUGUCAAUUCAGCAAUGAAUUUAUGGGGAGGAAAAUCCGGACAACGUAGAGCACCACACCAUCUAACGGAUGGGCUCUUGAUCGAGGUCAGGAGACAGAUAGUGUCGCAGAAAAUUACCGCCUGUCAGGAUUGCUGUGUUGCAUAACAUGGUUGUUUAACAGGUAAGGGUGAAAACGUGAGGUAAGAGCUCACGCGCUCUCUGGGUAACCAGGUAGCGGGAUAAACCUUGUGGGUUGAAAUGCCAUGUAUAUUCCGGGCUGCCAUUAGGUAGGUUGGGUUGCUCGCUCAACUGUGUAAGCAACCGGAAGGGGUGGGCAGCUAGAUCAUUAUAGCAAUAUAAUGACCAGAUAAAUGAUAGAAAUCUCUAAAAUAGAGAUACAGAAUCCGGUUUACAUCCCUAUAGCAUUU
RNAcentral lists this RNase P RNA (430 nucleotides) under Saprospiraceae bacterium. RNAcentral describes it as "RNase P RNA component class A". It matches the Rfam family "Bacterial RNase P class A". Rfam says of the family: Ribonuclease P (RNase P) is a ubiquitous endoribonuclease, found in archaea, bacteria and eukarya as well as chloroplasts and mitochondria. Its best characterised activity is the generation of mature 5'-ends of tRNAs by cleaving the 5'-leader elements of precursor-tRNAs. Lineage: Bacteria; Pseudomonadati; Bacteroidota; Saprospiria; Saprospirales; Saprospiraceae. The record is from RNAcentral.